Molecule: ribosomal RNA, 497 nt
Filed under: uncultured bacterium
Lineage: Bacteria
Description: partial 16S ribosomal RNA
Rfam family: Bacterial small subunit ribosomal RNA
Source: RNAcentral
GACGAACGCUGGCGGCGUGCCUAAUACAUGCAAGUUGAGCGAUGAAGCUUGGUGCUUGCCCCAAUUUGAAGAGCAGCGAACGGGUGAGUAACGCGUGGGGAAUCUGCCUUUGAGCGGGGGACAACAUUUGGAAACGAAUGCUAAUACCGCAUAACAACUUUAAACAUAAGUUUUAAGUUUGAAAGAUGCAAUUGCAUCACUCAAAGAUGAUCCCGCGUUGUAUUAGCUAGUUGGUGAGGUAAAGGCUCACCAAGGCGAUGAUACAUAGCCGACCUGAGAGGGUGAUCGGCCACAUUGGGACUGAGACACGGCCCAAACUCCUACGGGAGGCAGCAGUAGGGAAUCUUCGGCAAUGGACGAAAGUCUGACCGAGCAACGCCGCGUGAGUGAAGAAGGUUGUCGGAUCGUAAAACUCGGUUGGUAGAGAAGAACGUUGGUGAGAGUGGAAAGCUCAUCAAGUGACGGUAACUACCCAGAAAGGGACGGCUAACUACGUG